AGGUUCCCAAGAGCUGUGACCAAACAGCACACCCACCUGUGGGACUGCUGGCACAAAGUAGCCACCCGCUGCAGGCUGGAACUGAUUUAAGAUGGCAUUGGCAGGAAGUGCUCUCAUUCCAGCCACUCGUUGCAUAUACUGGUUGGUCAGUGAUAUCUGUAGAUCAACCACUGCACACACAGACAUUAUAAAGAUAACCCAUCCUCUGGCAUACUGAAUGACACAAAGGACAAAAAUUAUUUUGGCUUGUAAUAGCCAAGACUUAUUGUCUCUUCUUCUCCCCAUAUGGCUUUGAUUUGUCCAGGUUCUUGAUGAAGACGUUUCCCACACCAGAUUUUCUCAAAGAGGGAUCCCUCUGAGACCACAUGAUGCGGAUUGGCUUUCCCUUAAUCACAUCAAAGUUCAUGGUGUCCAAAGCCCGCUCAGCUGUAAGAGAGAAACACAUUUCAAUAAGGAGAGAAAACGUCAGCUCCCACAGGCCAACAGCCUAAGAACAGAUUACUCCAGGACUUUUCAAGUGAGGUAUUGCAUCAAAGUUAUCAAGUCAUUUAGUCUGCAAUCCACCUAUGGAGACAAGUGACAAAACCUGUAAAGCAAAUGAUCUGGAAAAAAAAAAAAAGGUGCUAUCCCUGAAUUCAGAA
This 641-nucleotide long non-coding RNA is filed under the name Homo sapiens (human). RNAcentral describes it as "PABPC4 antisense RNA 1 (PABPC4-AS1)". The record is from RNAcentral. Lineage: Eukaryota; Metazoa; Chordata; Mammalia; Primates; Hominidae.